GAUGAACGCUGGCGGCGUGCCUAAUACAUGCAAGUCGAGCGAACGGACGAGAAGCUUGCUUCUCUGAUGUUAGCGGCGGACGGGUGAGUAACACGUGGAUAACCUACCUAUAAGACUGGGAUAACUUCGGGAAACCGGAGCUAAUACCGGAUAAUAUUUUGAACCGCAUGGUUCAAAAGUAAAAGACGGUCUUGCUGUCACUUAUAGAUGGAUCCGCGCUGCAUUAGCUAGUUGGUAAGGUAACGGCUUACCAAUGCAACGAUGCAUAGCCGACCUGAGAGGGUGAUCGGCCACACUGGAACUGAGGCACGGUCCAGACUCCUACGGGAGGCAGCAGUAGGGAAUCUUCCGCAAUGGGCGAAAGCCUGACGGAGCAACGCCGCGUGAGUGAUGAAGGUCUUCGGAUCGUAAAACUCUGUUAUUAGGGAAGAACAUAUGUGUAAGUAACUGUGCACAUCUUGACGGUACCUAAUCAGAAAGCCACGGCUAACUACGUG
Molecule: ribosomal RNA, 497 nt
Filed under: uncultured bacterium
Lineage: Bacteria
Description: partial 16S ribosomal RNA
Rfam family: Bacterial small subunit ribosomal RNA
Source: RNAcentral